RNAcentral lists this long non-coding RNA (589 nucleotides) under Homarus americanus (American lobster). RNAcentral's name for it is "uncharacterized LOC121869383, transcript variant X2". Lineage: Eukaryota; Metazoa; Arthropoda; Malacostraca; Decapoda; Nephropidae. The record is from RNAcentral.
UCAGUGUUUGUGAUUCAUCCGCUUCACACUUCAACUCAACAACAAACAUGCCGAGGCCGACCACUUGCUCAGUUUUGGGGUAUUUAACUAUUUAUCACAAAUUACAAACAGGUGAUAUGAAGAACUAAGAAGAAGGUAGAUUCAUUUGUGCAAGAGGUUAAGACUUAAGAAAUGCUGAAACUACUUGGACUAUCAUUACCGAGUUGACCUGAUUAAGAAUGGAGCAAUACCAAUAUUACGUCUCAGGUUUAAAAGGUAAACCUACUUACCGAGUGCCGAUGUUUGGGACAGGUAACCAGUGCCAUGAUCCGGGUUGUGUGCUGACGGAGGGAGACACACUUGUUUGCUUACACCACCUUGACCCUCAUUACCGAGAUCCUAAAAUCGGGAGAGGAAAUGGGGAGUAUCAAAAAUAGGUCCAUCCCUCAAUAAACUACUACAAGACUAAUUAUCACCUGAACAAGUUAACUGAAAUAGAUCUGCUGUGAAGACACCCAGAAGUACAUGGCAUCAACAUUCAACCUCUGUAACCAGCAUCAACAUUCAACCUCUGUAACCUGCAUCAACAUUCAACCUCUGUAACCUGCAU